UACGAAGGGGACUAGCGUUGUUCGGAAUCACUGGGCGUAAAGCGCACGUAGGCGGAUUUGUAAGUCAGGGGUGAAAUCCCGGGGCUCAACCUCGGAACUGCCUUUGAUACUGCGGAUCUCGAGUCCGAUAGAGGUGGGUGGAAUUCCUAGUGUAGAGGUGAAAUUCGUAGAUAUUAGGAAGAACACCGGUGGCGAAGGCGGCCCACUGGAUCGGUACUGACGCUGAGGUGCGAAAGCGUGGGGAGCAAACAGG
This 253-nucleotide ribosomal RNA is filed under the name uncultured bacterium. RNAcentral describes it as "partial 16S ribosomal RNA". It matches the Rfam family "Bacterial small subunit ribosomal RNA", at positions 524 to 776 of the family's 1533-position model. The record is from RNAcentral.